GUGCAGCAGUCGCGAAACCUCCGCAAUACACGAAAGUGUGACGGGGCCAUCCCGAGUGCCAUCCGCUGAGGACGGCUUUUCCUCAGUGUACACAGCUGGGGGAAUAAGGAGAGGGCAAGCCUGGUGUCAGCCGCCGCGGUAAUACCAGCUCUCCGAGUGGUGGGGACGCUUAUUGGGCCUAAAGCAUCCGUAGCCGGCUGGGCAAGUCCUCCGUUAAAUCCAACGAUUCAAUCGUUGGGCUGCGGGGGAUACUGUCCAGCUUGGGGGCGGGAGAGGCCGACGGUAUUCCCGGGGUAGGGGUGAAAUCCUAUAAUCCCGGGAGGACCACCAGUGGCGAAGGCUGUCGGCUAGAACGCGCCCGACGGUGAGGGAUGAAAGCUGGGGGAGCGAACCGGAUUAGAUACCCGUGUAGU
Molecule: ribosomal RNA, 413 nt
Filed under: uncultured microorganism
Description: bacterial SSU rRNA
Rfam family: Archaeal small subunit ribosomal RNA
Source: RNAcentral